CUGRCASSSSCSGUAAUUYCAGCUCCAAUAGCGUAUAUUAAAGUUGUUGCAGUUAAAAAGCUCGUAGUUGAAUUUCGGGAUUUGUCAGUUGGUCGGGCUUCACUGUCCGUACUGACUUGAUGGAUUCUUACCUUCUGAAUAACCAGCAUGCUAUUAAGUUAGUGCGUUGGGGAAGCAGAUCUAUUACCUUGAAAAAAUUAGAGUGCUUAAAGCGGGCUUGUGCUUGAAUAGAUUAGCAUGGAAUAAUAAAAUAGGACGGCAUGGUUCUAUUUUGUUGGUUUCUAGGAUCACCGUAAUGAUUAAUAGGGAUAGUUGGGGGCAUUAGUAUUCAAUUGUCAGAGGUGAAAUUCUUGGAUUUAUUGAAGACUAACUUCUGCGAAAGCAUUUGCCAAGGAUGUUUUCAUUAAUCAAGAACGAAAGUUAGGGGAUCGAAGACGAUCAGAUACCGUCGUAGUCUUAACCAUAAACUAUGCCGACUAGGAAUCGGACGAUGUAUWAUUKYMUAAUGACUCGUUCGGCCCACCGGGGGAAAAAAAAAUAA
RNAcentral lists this ribosomal RNA (541 nucleotides) under Acaulospora sp. RNAcentral's name for it is "partial small subunit ribosomal RNA". Lineage: Eukaryota; Fungi; Glomeromycota; Glomeromycetes; Diversisporales; Acaulosporaceae. The record is from RNAcentral.